UACGGAGGGUGCAAGCGUUAUCCGGAAUUACUGGGUUUAAAGGGUGCGUAGGCGGCUAUGUAAGUCAGGAGUGAAAGUUUGCGGCUCAACCGUAAAAUUGCUUUUGAUACUGCAUGGCUAGAAUUAGGAUGAGGUCAGCGGAAUGUGGCAUGUAGCGGUGAAAUGCAUAGAUAUGCCAUAGAACACCAAUUGCGAAGGCAGCUGGCUAGACCUGGAUUGACGCUGAGGCACGAAAGCGUGGGGAGCGAACAGG
Molecule: ribosomal RNA, 253 nt
Filed under: uncultured bacterium
Lineage: Bacteria
Description: partial 16S ribosomal RNA
Rfam family: Bacterial small subunit ribosomal RNA
Source: RNAcentral